UGAUGGAUACUUGGUUCAAUCCGGACACCCAGCGCAUGCGCGGUAGUACGUAGUCUACGGUUCGGCGCCAAAGACUGAGAAGAAAACGAAGCAGGGAGCCAUGAUGGAUUGACGAAGUAAGCUGCACGUUAGAACAGCAGAGAAAAGCUGCCUGUCAAAGAGUGUAUAAGGAUAUAUGGCAGCUGACAUCAAGAAAUAAUGUGCAGUUAGACAGAAAUCCUUCCCUGAGAAGACCGAGCUUGAUGCCGAACUCGUUGUAAAAAACUGGCUGCGGCAAGCCAAAGCCAGAUGUUGUAGUAACCCCCUCAAGCUCCCUCAUUUUGUAACAUACAUAACAUACAUUCUGUUAAAUAAA
Uloborus diversus is the source of this 355-nucleotide long non-coding RNA. RefSeq lists it as uncharacterized. Lineage: Eukaryota; Metazoa; Arthropoda; Arachnida; Araneae; Uloboridae. The record is from RefSeq and is a predicted model, not a curated record. The transcript is spliced from 3 exons.